UCGGGUAUGGUGUAACGGCUAACAUUGCCGCCUCUCAUAUAGAUCGCGGCAGCUCGGGGUUCGAUUCCCCGUACCCGAA
This 79-nucleotide transfer RNA is filed under the name Hypholoma sublateritium FD-334 SS-4. Its description in RNAcentral is "tRNA-Glu". It matches the Rfam family "tRNA". From Rfam's summary of the family: Transfer RNA (tRNA) molecules are approximately 80 nucleotides in length. Lineage: Eukaryota; Fungi; Basidiomycota; Agaricomycetes; Agaricales; Strophariaceae. The record is from RNAcentral.